UGGGCGUAAGCGCACGCAGGCGGUCUGUUAAGUCAGAUGUGAAAUCCCCGGGCUUAACCUGGGAACUGCAUUUGAAACUGGCAGGCUUGAGUCUUGUAGAGGGGGGUAGAAUUCCAGGUGUAGCGGUGAAAUGCGUAGAGAUCUGGAGGAAUACCGGUGGCGAAGGCGGCCCCCUGGACAAAGACUGACGCUCAGGUGCGAAAGCGUGGGGAGCAAACAGGAUUAGAUACCCUGGUAGUCCACGCCGUAAACGAUGUCGACUUGGAGGUUGUUCCCUUGAGGAGUGGCUUCCGGAGCUAACGCGUUAAGUCGACCGCCUGGGGAGUACGGCCGCAAGGUUAAAACUCAAAUGAAUUGACGGGGGCCCGCACAAGCGGUGGAGCAUGUGGUUUAAUUCGAUGCAACGCGAAGAACCUUACCUACUCUUGACAUCCACGGAAUUCGGCAGAGAUGCCUUAGUGCCUUCGGGAACCGUGAGACAGGUGCUGCAUGGCUGUCGUCAGCUCGUGUUGUGAAAUGUUGGGUUAAGUCCCGCAACGAGCGCAACCCUUAUCCUUUGUUGCCAGCGAUUCGGUCGGGAACUCAAAGGAGACUGCCGGUGAUAAACCGGAGGAANNUGGGGAUGACGUCAAGUCAUCAUG
Molecule: ribosomal RNA, 641 nt
Filed under: Gammaproteobacteria bacterium
Lineage: Bacteria; Pseudomonadati; Pseudomonadota; Gammaproteobacteria
Description: bacterial SSU rRNA
Rfam family: Bacterial small subunit ribosomal RNA
Source: RNAcentral